UGAGCAACCUGCCCUUGGCCCUGGAAUAACAGCUGGAAACAGCUGCUAAUACCGGAUAUGACCUCCGAUGGCAUCAUCUGGAGGUGGAAAGCUCCGACGGUCAAGGAUGGGCUCGCGGCCUAUCAGCUUGUUGGUGGGGUAACGGCCUACCAAGGCGACGACGGGUAGCUGGUCUGAGAGGGUGACCGGCCACACUGGGACUGAGACACGGCCCAGACUCCGUAGGGAGG
Molecule: ribosomal RNA, 230 nt
Filed under: uncultured bacterium
Lineage: Bacteria
Description: partial 16S ribosomal RNA
Rfam family: Bacterial small subunit ribosomal RNA
Source: RNAcentral